GAGAUGGGAGGCCUCCGAGAGGCUCUGUUGUCAGGGUGGGGUGGAGGCGGGCCAGAGGAAAGGGUAGUCUAAAAGGAGUUUGAACCAUAUGUCAUUGUGGUGUCACUGAGCACCAGGCUAGGAAUCAAGGGCACUGGGUUCUAGUCCUGCUCUGUCUCUGACUCACCCAGGAACUCUAGACUUAUUGUCUUCUCUGGGGGCCUCAGUUUCUCCCAUCUAUGCAAUGAGAUCCUUCUGGAGCCAAACUUCUAGUAGUCCUGACUAAGAAGUUCUAGGAAGCAGGGCACAGGAAUGCAGAUCUGAAGAGCAUAAUGAGGGAGCCUCUGCAGCCACCUGAUGAGACAGGGCGUAUGGUGGUCACCCGUGAAGGACCCCCUCCCCACCAGGGCUUCCCCUAUUGGAGCAGCUGCCUGUGGGGAGGGAGGGGGGAAAGCUCCGCAGGAACCAACCAUGACUGAGGAGGGCUGGCCAGGAAGACAGUAGUGCCAUUGGUGGAGAGUGCAGUGUCUGGAGGCCACCAACGUUGGGAGUGUGGAGGGGUGGGUCCACCCUCAGAGCUGAAUGAGUGGCCAUAGAGGGCCAAGAGCAUGCUGGGAGCAGGGGCCAGUGACAGGGCACGGAAUGGUCUGACCAGGUCAGCCUCUAAAUAAGGAUUCUGAGACUUUGGGAGCCCCUCAGGCUUUGGGAGCCCCCUGCCUCCCCCUCCCCACCACAGUGCUGUGGGUGCUCUAUUCCAACCUGGAGGUGACCCCCUACCACACACCAAUCUCCUGUCUUCCUCCUUGGCCCUGGGACAGACCCUUGUUGGCACCAUUCCCUGGUGGGCGCCAAGAGGACAGAGAGCAGGAAGAGGGGAGCUUUGUCCAAGCCCCCUUGGGUCAGGGCCAGGCCGAGGGGCCAGUGUGCAGCCCCCUCCCUUCGUCCUUCCCUGCCCCUUGAGGAAUGUGUCCUCUGAGGCUCACCAGCUUGGCGGUCAGCUCCAGUUCACAGAGGGGGCUGUGUCCUGCCACCCGUCCCCUCUGAAGCCCCCAUUGUCAGCCUGGGGGGGUUGGGGGCAGGCUGGGGCCAUGUCUCAAAGGCCUAAUGUUCUCAGAGGUGGGAGGGCCGAGGGGUCUCCCGGAAGGACUAGUCCACGGGACACCUGGCUCUUCUCCACCUCCCUGCCUGAAGCCUGGGCUGGCCGGAAAGAAGGCUUCCCAGGAAGUGGGACAGAUAUUGGUGCAUCCUCGGCACUUGCCUGCCUGGUGCCAAGCUGUUCCCAUUGCCUGGCAGAGAGGCUAGAGAGAAUUUUAAAAAACACAAAAACAAGCAGACAGCUAAAAUAAUACAAGCUCAUUUCAUAAAGUCCUACUGAGAGCCGGGCAUCAUGCUAUGGGUUUUAUAACCAUACAGCCCACCAUGAAGGAGAUGAGAUCAUUACCAUCAUCCCUAGGUUGCAGGUGAGGAGAAGAGGCACAGAGAGGUUGGGUACACUGUCCAAGGUUAUAAAGGCAGGAAGGGGCGGAGCCAGCCAAACCCAGGCAGCUGAGGUGCAGAGCCCAGGUCCACAAUGACUCCAAAAGCCAGGAGUGAAAGGAUGCUUCUGGGGAAGAGUAAGAUGGAUGAUGCCCAUUUAACCCCCUCAGCAGUUCCCGAGGCACCUCCAAGGACCCCACCUCUCUCCCAAUCACAGUAGAAAACACUGUUCUAAAUUUUUUCCCAGGAUCUUGCCUUCUUUGUGGUCUCCAAUUCAUAGCUUUUAGAUUUCUUUGGUCUGGGGCCUGCUUGGGGGCCAGGAACAAUGGGCUCAUCUGCCUUUACUGCAGCCCCACCUGCUUCUACCAAAGGCCCCUCCAGGCUGGGUGGAAAGCUCUAGUGCCUUUUUUUUUUUUCUUUUUUCUUUUCCUGGGGCACGAAGCCAGCACUGCUGGAGGAAAUAAAGGCCUGCAAGGAGAGCACAAGAUGUCACUGAUGGUUUCGAUAAAAGCGCCAGGACUCAUCGAAUCACGUGUAAUCCCGUUCAAAGCAAUCUUCCGAGUAGCCCCCCACCAUUUGGGGGGAGCUCCUGUUUACAGCUAGCCCCUCAGGCCUCUGGCUCUCCUGGGCAAAGGGAAAGCUUCUGGCUAUGAGGGGUGAAGCUGAGUUUAGGGGACAAGCAGGAGCCACUGGGGUCCAGCGUGGUGAGCAAGAAGGUGCCUCCUGUGUUUAGGUGGGCCAGCAUCAUUCAUCACACAACCUUGAAGCAGGCACUUACUGGGGGUGUGGUCCCAGGUUGGGGCGGCCAGGGGGGUGGCCCAAAGAUGACCAAGGGAUCUGGGACACUCACCAUUUGGUGGAAGGAAAAGACCCAUCCCAAGAAGUCCAGGGCAGCGUGGACAAUGGGUGUAGGACCUCACACAGGGCAGGUCUUCCCCAGCUAGAGGACUCCAGGACAGGGGAAGAGAGGAAGAAGUGCUGCCAUGAGGUUCGAAAGCAAGCACACUUGACAAAUUACCUCCAGUGCGUGGAGAAGCCUUACAAAAUCCAGGAUGACCUCCCAGAAGAAGCAUGCUUUGCCCUGGCUUAAAAGGAUGAAUAUGGGGAUCCCUGGGUGGCGCAGCGGUUUGGCGCCUGCCUUUGGCCCAGGGCGCGAUCCUGGGGACCCGGGAUCGAGUCCCACGUCGGGCUCCCGGUGCAUGGGGCCUGCUUCUCCCUCUGCCUAUGUCUCUGCCUCUCUCUCUCUCUCUCUCUCUCUCUCUGUGACUAUCAUAAAUAAAAAAAAAAAAAGGAUGAAUAUGAUGUGGACAGAAUUGUAGAGGGGAGAGGAUUCCAGGUGGAGGAGGCAAGCUGAUUGGUGCUAUAAUAAUUAAGAUAAAUUAAUCAGUAGGACAAACCCUAGCCCAGAAUCAUUGUCACAGGAGGGUAGGAAGAGCUCUAAAGUCAACUUUAAUUUUUUGGUGGAGCAGUUAGACCUCAGUCUGCAUCCAGUUUUGGUCAUUUACUAGCUGUGUGGCCUUGGGCAAGUGGCUUAAUCUCUCCCAGCCUCAAUUUUGUCAUCUGAAAAAUAAAGGAGGAAUAGCAGCUUCCUCCUGGGAUUAUUGGAGCAUGAAAGAAGGUAAAUUGAGAAGUGGGCACUUGGUGACUGGCCUGUGAUGGGGGCCCGGCCAGCGCCUAUUCUUGUGACAAUGGCACCAUUUCCUUAAGAGGCUCCAAAAAUGAUCAGAAAGAUUGGUUCUCAAAAAAGAGAGGCCCAAGCAAUUCUGAGUCAUGGGAAACAUCUGAGAUGUGUCUUGCCCUGCUCCUAACAGGGCUAUUGAGGAAGGAGAUGACCCUUUGUGGGUCAUGGUAGCAUGAUGUGGUCUCCAUCGAUGACUCCUGCUUAUAACUUGUUCAAAAGUCCUUCAAGGCCUUCUAAAACAAUUCUCUGCUCUUCUCCUCCUCUCUACUCCAGCACUGAAGCAGUGGUGCUCUCCUUUUCCUGGUCUCUCCUCUCACCAGACCUCAUCCCCCCCAUGGUCCCAUAGUGACCCCUCAGAGGAGGUUAGAUCAUGCCUCUUCCCACCCAAAAACCUUCCAUGGCUCCCACUGUCAGAGCAUAAACUCAACUCCUUAGUCUGCUCCCCAAAUCCAGUCCUCCACUAUCCGAUCCCCACUUCCCUACCCCGCUGCCUCUCCAGCCUCCCUUUCCACAUGCCAGACCCUCUGGUCACACUGGGUCAACCACCUCUAGGUCCUCGAACAGCCUUCGUUCAGCCCUGCCUUGGAGCCUUCUUUUACAAGCAGCCCCCCGUCAUUCCCUCCGACUGGAACAUCUUUUCUCCCUCCACUGCUGGUUGAAUCCUAGAUGCACUCCAGCUCCCAGUUCAGCUAUCUCGUCCUCCCAGGAGCCCUCCCAGACUCCAUUCCCAAGCAAGGACCAUGGCCUGCUCAGAGCUGUCUCCUAUAAGCGGGGGUGGAAUGUGGGUGAAAGCUGAGGACACAGUCUUCAGCUGCCCGAAGGACUGCUGGGGAGCAGCUCAGGGGCAGAGCUCACUGCUGGAAGAGGCUGCACCCUGCAGCCCUCCAGAGCAGAGCAGGGUGGGGCUGCAGAAACCCCCACGGAGGCUGGCACGGAUGCCAGCAGCCCGGAUAGAGCCCAGGCAGUGGUGUUGGCACAGCUCUGCUGCCGGAGAUGAGGGUGAGACAAACUGCAAUUAGCCAAGCACAGGCUGGGCUCUCAAGGCUAAUUACCAAUUAGAUGGGGCCGGGCGAUUAGCGACAUGAAAGAGACAGUCAGCAAAUAGUCACUGGCUUGGCAAAGCGGAAGGGGGUGGGGAGGUGUCUCUGUUCCUGCCAACAGGUCUGCGCUCCUAGUGGUUAGUGCAGUGCUGGUAUAGGGUGCGGGUUCCCAGCAAUGGGGGGGCUGACUGAGCCUCCUGGGCACACUGGGGCAGAUUUGGCUUCUUUUGGAUUCCCAGGAUCAUCCUCAGAGGAGGGCUCGAGGUAUCUGUUCCUUGGUUGUGUUGGAGUGAUGGGUGACGAGUGCCCUGACACCUUGGCCAGGUGAGCCCAGGAGGACCUUAGAGCAGCUAGGUGCCAGACGCCCAGUGCAUUUGUGUCUGGAGCUUUGCCUGGCACUGCCUCCGGGCUGAAGGAGGGAGGGGGUGUGCAGAGAGCCUCCUCCCUCUCAUCUCGUGGCUCCAUGUUCUUCACUCUUGGUCUCCAUCCCCCCACCUCCCAUCCCUUCCCUCUGCUCAGUUCUUCUUCCUUUCCUUCACCUCCCUCUCAUCUCCUCCAUCACCGCUGCUCACCUCUCAAGCUUUCUGUCUUUGUCUCUGGUUUUCUCUGCUUCUAGCACUUCCCUCCCUU
Molecule: long non-coding RNA, 4806 nt
Filed under: Canis lupus familiaris (dog)
Lineage: Eukaryota; Metazoa; Chordata; Mammalia; Carnivora; Canidae
Description: lncRNA (ENSCAFG00040009617.1)
Source: RNAcentral